Long non-coding RNA from Suricata suricatta (meerkat), 432 nucleotides. RefSeq lists it as uncharacterized. The record is from RefSeq and is a predicted model, not a curated record. Lineage: Eukaryota; Metazoa; Chordata; Mammalia; Carnivora; Herpestidae. The transcript has 3 exons.
AGAGGAAGGAGACAACUGGAAGGCAGAAUCCAUACCUAUCGGGACGGGUCUAAGAAGAAACUGCCUCGAGUCCCAUCAUCUGUGAAUAGAGGCAGAGACCCCGGAUCAAGGGUCCAGCAAUGCUGCUUCCUAAGAUCAAAUGACCCUGGUUAAUAAUUAAUAUCAAACGAGCAAACCAACAAACAAAUCAGAAACACCUGCUAGCCUUUUUUUUGGCAUUUGCGAUGGAACCAAGAUUUCUUGCACAGGAAAAGGGCACCCAGAUCCUAUCGCCGAUGGACCUGAGGGCCACAAGCCAAAAUCCCAUAUCAGGUAACUCUUCAGUAGAAAGGGUCAAGGCUCCUCACAUUUUCUAUCUACAGCCCCGUUGUAUACCGAAGAUUCCCUGGAAACUGAUUUUCCAUUUUUAUAUAAAGUCCUGCAAACAAAGAA